GGGUUGUGAGGUUAAGCGACUAAGCGUACACGGUGGAUGCCCUGGCAGUCAGAGGCGAUGAAGGACGUGCUAAUCUGCGAUAAGCGUCGGUAAGGUGAUAUGAACCGUUAUAACCGGCGAUUUCCGAAUGGGGAAACCCAGUGUGUUUCGACACACUAUCAUUAACUGAAUCCAUAGGUUAAUGAGGCGAACCGGGGGAACUGAAACAUCUAAGUACCCCGAGGAAAAGAAAUCAACCGAGAUUCCCCCAGUAGCGGCGAGCGAACGGGGAGGAGCCCAGAGCCUGAAUCAGUGUGUGUGUUAGUGGAAGCGUCUGGAAAGGCGCGCGAUACAGGGUGACAGCCCCGUACACAAAAAUGCACAUGCUGUGAGCUCGAUGAGUAGGGCGGGACACGUGGUAUCCUGUCUGAAUAUGGGGGGACCAUCCUCCAAGGCUAAAUACUCCUGACUGACCGAUAGUGAACCAGUACCGUGAGGGAAAGGCGAAAAGAACCCCGGCGAGGGGAGUGAAAAAGAACCUGAAACCGUGUACGUACAAGCAGUGGGAGCACGCUUAGGCGUGUGACUGCGUACCUUUUGUAUAAUGGGUCAGCGACUUAUAUUCUGUAGCAAGGUUAACCGAAUAGGGGAGCCGAAGGGAAACCGAGUCUUAACUGGGCGUUAAGUUGCAGGGUAUAGACCCGAAACCCGGUGAUCUAGCCAUGGGCAGGUUGAAGGUUGGGUAACACUAACUGGAGGACCGAACCGACUAAUGUUGAAAAAUUAGCGGAUGACUUGUGGCUGGGGGUGAAAGGCCAAUCAAACCGGGAGAUAGCUGGUUCUCCCCGAAAGCUAUUUAGGUAGCGCCUCGUGAAUUCAUCUCCGGGGGUAGAGCACUGUUUCGGCAAGGGGGUCAUCCCGACUUACCAACCCGAUGCAAACUGCGAAUACCGGAGAAUGUUAUCACGGGAGACACACGGCGGGUGCUAACGUCCGUCGUGAAGAGGGAAACAACCCAGACCGCCAGCUAAGGUCCCAAAGUCAUGGUUAAGUGGGAAACGAUGUGGGAAGGCCCAGACAGCCAGGAUGUUGGCUUAGAAGCAGCCAUCAUUUAAAGAAAGCGUAAUAGCUCACUGGUCGAGUCGGCCUGCGCGGAAGAUGUAACGGGGCUAAACCAUGCACCGAAGCUGCGGCAGCGACGCUUAUGCGUUGUUGGGUAGGGGAGCGUUCUGUAAGCCUGUGAAGGUGUGCUGUGAGGCAUGCUGGAGGUAUCAGAAGUGCGAAUGCUGACAUAAGUAACGAUAAAGCGGGUGAAAAGCCCGCUCGCCGGAAGACCAAGGGUUCCUGUCCAACGUUAAUCGGGGCAGGGUGAGUCGACCCCUAAGGCGAGGCCGAAAGGCGUAGUCGAUGGGAAACAGGUUAAUAUUCCUGUACUUGGUGUUACUGCGAAGGGGGGACGGAGAAGGCUAUGUUGGCCGGGCGACGGUUGUCCCGGUUUAAGCGUGUAGGCUGGUUUUCCAGGCAAAUCCGGAAAAUCAAGGCUGAGGCGUGAUGACGAGGCACUACGGUGCUGAAGCAACAAAUGCCCUGCUUCCAGGAAAAGCCUCUAAGCAUCAGGUAACAUCAAAUCGUACCCCAAACCGACACAGGUGGUCAGGUAGAGAAUACCAAGGCGCUUGAGAGAACUCGGGUGAAGGAACUAGGCAAAAUGGUGCCGUAACUUCGGGAGAAGGCACGCUGAUAUGUAGGUGAAGUCCCUCGCGGAUGGAGCUGAAAUCAGUCGAAGAUACCAGCUGGCUGCAACUGUUUAUUAAAAACACAGCACUGUGCAAACACGAAAGUGGACGUAUACGGUGUGACGCCUGCCCGGUGCCGGAAGGUUAAUUGAUGGGGUCAGCGCAAGCGAAGCUCUUGAUCGAAGCCCCGGUAAACGGCGGCCGUAACUAUAACGGUCCUAAGGUAGCGAAAUUCCUUGUCGGGUAAGUUCCGACCUGCACGAAUGGCGUAAUGAUGGCCAGGCUGUCUCCACCCGAGACUCAGUGAAAUUGAACUCGCUGUGAAGAUGCAGUGUACCCGCGGCAAGACGGAAAGACCCCGUGAACCUUUACUAUAGCUUGACACUGAACAUUGAGCCUUGAUGUGUAGGAUAGGUGGGAGGCUU
RNAcentral lists this ribosomal RNA (2140 nucleotides) under Escherichia coli. RNAcentral's name for it is "bacterial LSU rRNA". It matches the Rfam family "Bacterial large subunit ribosomal RNA", at positions 1 to 2157 of the family's 2925-position model. Lineage: Bacteria; Pseudomonadati; Pseudomonadota; Gammaproteobacteria; Enterobacterales; Enterobacteriaceae. The record is from RNAcentral.